RNAcentral lists this non-coding RNA (206 nucleotides) under unclassified sequences. Its description in RNAcentral is "ilvB-OMG RNA". It matches the Rfam family "ilvB-OMG RNA". The record is from RNAcentral. RNAcentral also lists the same sequence under 1 other name.
GUCACGCGAACGGCAACGGUUAUUGAUGAGUACCCUCAUCCUCUUGCCCACCCCCACAACGGGAUAGUUGUGUGGGCUGUUUGCGGGUUCCGUAAUGUGCGCUCAGUGCACCUCGGGCUCGACACUGCGCUACCCCGCAGGACGACCGAUACACGGCUUUCGUGAUCGAUGUUCCGGUAUGGUAGUCCGGAAUGAUCCGGCCAGUG